GCCAGGUGUGGUGGUGCACACCUGUAGUCCCAGCUACUCAGGAGGCUGAGACAGGAGAAUCGCUUGAACCUGGGAGGCAGAGGUUGCAGUGAGUCAAGAUGGCGCCACUGCACUCCAGCCUGGGCAACAGAGCGAGACUCUGUCUCAA
This 148-nucleotide non-coding RNA is filed under the name Gorilla gorilla gorilla (western lowland gorilla). The record is from Rfam by way of RNAcentral. Lineage: Eukaryota; Metazoa; Chordata; Mammalia; Primates; Hominidae.